CGUCUACUCCCUGCCGUUCGGAAUUACUUGUCACAAAAACGGAUAAAAAUAGAUGUAUCUACAACUAAAAUACAUCUAGAUACAUUAAUUUUUUGGACGAGUAAUUCCGAACGGAGGGAGUACAGC
Non-coding RNA from Triticum aestivum (bread wheat), 126 nucleotides. The record is from Rfam. NCBI's taxonomy places the organism in Eukaryota, Viridiplantae, Streptophyta, Magnoliopsida, Poales, Poaceae.